This is a long non-coding RNA of Phascolarctos cinereus (koala), 476 nucleotides long. RefSeq lists it as uncharacterized. Lineage: Eukaryota; Metazoa; Chordata; Mammalia; Diprotodontia; Phascolarctidae. The record is from RefSeq and is a predicted model, not a curated record.
AAAUACAGAACCUCCCGAGGACAUCCAGGCUGCAGAAAGAGGAAAACAAGAUGUGGUAUGUCAUCAACAACAUUCAAGGUCAAUGAAUUGGAGUCUCUGAUUUCUGAGUUUUGAAACAUCAGAGGAGUGAGCUACAGGACUUGGGAAUCCAGGCUGGAUUUGGUAGCCAAUCCAACACCAGUGUCGUAAGAACCUUGAGAAUGACCUUUUGGACCUGGACCAGAGGCACAAGCACUGUGAAGACAAGGAAAAAAGACAUGAUGUGAGUAAGGAAGAAUGGGCCAAUAUUCUUGGAAAGAGACGUGAACAAAAAGAAGUCGUGUGAGCUUUUCCAUUCUCCACCAUCUUUGUUGCCCAUCGUGGCUGAGGGUGUCACAUAGAAGACUGUGGUUCUCUGGGACUGACUGAAAGCACACUCCAGUAGACAAUGAUGACAGUAUGGAGGGUUAGGGUUGGUUUUUUUUUUUAACUUUUUA